UACGUAGGGUGCGAGCGUUGUCCGGAAUUACUGGGCGUAAAGAGCUCGUAGGUGGUUUGUCGCGUUGUUCGUGAAAUGCCACAGCUUAACUGUGGGCGUGCGGGCGAUACGGGCAGACUGGAGUACUGCAGGGGAGACUGGAAUUCCUGGUGUAGCGGUGGAAUGCGCAGAUAUCAGGAGGAACACCGGUGGCGAAAGCGGCUCUCUGGGACGGUACUGACGCUGAGACGCGAAAGCGUGGGGAGCGAACAGG
This 253-nucleotide ribosomal RNA is filed under the name uncultured bacterium. Its description in RNAcentral is "partial 16S ribosomal RNA". It matches the Rfam family "Bacterial small subunit ribosomal RNA", at positions 524 to 776 of the family's 1533-position model. The record is from RNAcentral.